CCUACGGGGGGCAGCAGUAGGGAAUCUUCCACAAUGGGCGCAAGCCUGAUGGAGCAACACCGCGUGAGUGAAGAAGGGUUUCGGCUCGUAAAACUCUGUUGUUGAAGAAGAAUGUGCGUGAGAGUAACUGUUCACGCAGUGACGGUAUUCAACCAGAAAGUCACGGCUAACUACGUGCCAGCAGCCGCGGUAAUACGUAGGUGGCAAGCGUUAUCCGGAUUUAUUGGGCGUAAAGCGAGCGCAGGCGGUUUUCUAAGUCUGAUGUGAAAGCCUUCGGCUUAACCGGAGAAGUGCAUCGGAAACUGGAUAACUUGAGUGCAAGAGAGGACAGUGGAACUCCAUGUGUAGCGGUGGAAUGCGUAGAUAUAUGGAAGAACACCAGUGGCGAAGGCGGCUGUCUAGCUUGCAACUGACGCUGAGACUCGAAAGCAUGGGUAGCGAACAGGAUUAGAUACCCCAGUAGUC
Molecule: ribosomal RNA, 465 nt
Filed under: uncultured Lactobacillus sp.
Lineage: Bacteria; Bacillati; Bacillota; Bacilli; Lactobacillales; Lactobacillaceae
Description: bacterial SSU rRNA
Rfam family: Bacterial small subunit ribosomal RNA
Source: RNAcentral